CACUGAAUUACUAAACCCUGUGGGACUUUUGCUGGCUUGUCCCAACUUGUUCCUCACCCAGCAUCCCAGAAGUGAGGGAGCAGCGGUAGACAGCAUAGGUGGGCUGCUGGGCUGAGGGAUGGACCAGCCCUGGACCAGCUGGGGUUAUGAAUGGGGACUUUGCAGCAGCCCUGGGGAUGCAUCGGGCAUGGCUGAGAUGAAGGCAGCAGCCUCUGGAGCAGCACUGGGAGGAGACAGGGAUAGGGACAGCUGUAAACACCUGGAAAUUCAAGCAACAUCAGCAAAGCACGGUGCUGUCUUCAUGCUCAACAGAACCGAAGAGAAGCUCACUGAAGAUUGUGUCGACUGGACCACAACAGCUCCAGGACAUUUAACUUCAAGACGUGGUCAAAUGCUUCGUCAGCGCCCCUGCAUACAGCAUUAG
RNAcentral lists this long non-coding RNA (424 nucleotides) under Anser brachyrhynchus (Pink-footed goose). Its description in RNAcentral is "lncRNA (ENSABRG00000017232.1)". The record is from RNAcentral. Lineage: Eukaryota; Metazoa; Chordata; Aves; Anseriformes; Anatidae.